UGCCAGCAGCCGCGGUAAUACGGAGGAUCCAAGCGUUAUCCGGAAUCAUUGGGUUUAAAGGGUCCGUAGGUGGAUAAUUAAGUCAGAGGUGAAAUCUUGCCGCUUAACGGUAAAAUUGCCUUUGAUACUGGUUGUCUUGAGUUAUUAUGAAGUGGUUAGAAUAUGUAGUGUAGCGGUGAAAUGCAUAGAUAUUACAUAGAAUACCAAUUGCGAAGGCAGAUCACUAAUAAUAUACUGACACUGAUGGACGAAAGCGUGGGGAGCGAACAGGAUUAGAUA
RNAcentral lists this ribosomal RNA (279 nucleotides) under uncultured bacterium. RNAcentral's name for it is "partial 16S ribosomal RNA". It matches the Rfam family "Bacterial small subunit ribosomal RNA", at positions 506 to 784 of the family's 1533-position model. The record is from RNAcentral.